Molecule: long non-coding RNA, 16831 nt
Filed under: Vitis vinifera (wine grape)
Lineage: Eukaryota; Viridiplantae; Streptophyta; Magnoliopsida; Vitales; Vitaceae
Description: long non-coding RNA (VVIN_LNC001195)
Source: RNAcentral
GAAAUCUGAGGUUAAUACUACCUGUUGGGUGUUGUUGUGGUCCAACAUCAGAGUCGAGUUAUAAGCUUAAAUCCUAAUGGGAUCAAAAUUCUUGGGGUCCACCCUAAAACCCUAUAACUGAAGACAAAAUUAAACGCAAUGAACCACAUGAAAGUAACAUCUGCCAUCAGAACCUUGAGAAUUGGAGAGUCUAUACGUACUUGGGAGUACCCAUUCUAAGUAAAGUGUGCUUCCUUUCCUCCACUCAUGAUAACCUUGCCACCUUAGCACUGCGUUUGGGUUUUCAGUUUCAAAACCACAGUAAAGAAAUGUUUCAAAAAUGAAAAACAAAAAGGAAAAGCUUCUGGCUAGGGUUUGCUCUAUAUGGGUUACUAGUCUCUUUCUAAUAAUCAAUAAGAAAGAAAGCAAGAGAGAGAGAGAGAGAGAGAGAGAGAGAGAGAGGGAGAGGGAGAGAUUUGGAAUGAUAUGGUGAUGUAUCUUUAUAGAUAUGGGGAGAAAAUAACAUCAAAAGGAUGAUUACCCGAAAGAAAAGGGAGUGUACCACUGCGGCUGCAUGCACUCUAGGGCACCUCCAAUGAGGUAAGCAGCUCAGGAUUUUGGAUAAGAGGUCAGAUAUAGCUUCACUGGCAAAUCAAAGUCUAAGUUGUUCAUCAGCACAAGACUGUGACUAUUACUCCAAGAACCACACCCAACUCUGAGAGAGGGAGAGAGAAAGAGAGACCCAAAACCAAUGUAAAUGCAUGAUAAGGAAAGCAAAAUCUCAUGAUGGUUGUGUCAAAAUCACACAAAUAACGCAAUCUCAAAAGUUGAACUUGGAACUCUCAGAGAGAGAGAGAGUCUGCAACUGUCAGAUUUGUAGAAAAAGGGAAUGAGACUCAUACAGCUUGAAUUCAAGGAGGGAUUGAAUAUUUCCAUUUACCCAUUCUCUUAUAGACAAUUCAAUGCAUAAAUAAAUAAACAAGGCUAGAAUUUUCUGGCAUGGGGUCACAAUAACGAUUAAAUUAAUUUUUUGUUCAUAGUAAAAACAAAAAUUCUGUACUUCCACAUGAGACAACAACCAUGCAGAUGUUGUGGAAGCCUGGAAGUAGCAUCAAAAGGAAAUGGGAAAUAAAAAUUUCCUAAUAAACAUCUAGUUCUAUUAAUUUAUGAUGGAAUAAUGAACUCAACACCAUAACUUUUCUACAAAGCUUCCAUUGAAGGACAAAAAGAACCCUAACCCUUUUUAUUUUUUCCUCAGUCUUCUCUCACCUUAAGUUUCAAAUAUGAGAAACCAUGUAUACUUGAAAGUAAAAACCUAACUCUUUCACCCCAGAGAUGAAUUGAUACUGAAUUUGUAUCAUUGAUUGCUGCAAUGGCUUAUUGGCAUGCGCUCCAAGUUUCCCAUUAUAAACAUAUUUUGAAUAAAAUUUUCUUCUAUUUCUUACUGAUCUUUUAUAUGUAGCUUCUCAUAAUGUUGUACGAAGUCCGAUAAUAAACGUUUGGUUGUGGGUGCACGAUUUCGAAGUCCAUAAAAAGAUUCAAGGACAUAGAUGACAAGCCAAAUUGGCUGACUGGGGCACAGGAAAUGAUCGUGCAUGGAAUGAGACAAUUGGUAAUAUUCUUGAAAAGUGGAAUAUUCAACUUUAGGGAAGAUGGUUCCUCAAACAAAGCAUGCAAGUAAUGAAGUUUUUGGUGGUGAUAUCCUCGUAUAUAAAAUUAUGAAAAUUGGAUUGCUCUUCAAAAGAUGAGACAGGGGCUCAUUGGAGGAUGGAGUGCUGGAUCAGAGACUGGUUGGGGUUUGUGAGAGAGAGAGAAAGAGAUAUGGAAAGCGGCAGUGGGAAAGUGGAAGAAUGAUGGAGCUUUUCAGGUUCCAAAAUGCUCCAGAAACCAUUUCCCCAUUAAUUGCUUUUGCAUUUAUUUUUGGGGCGCGUGCUCCCUAGUACAAAGGACUAUAGACAUGAUUACAUUGAAUUCUUUAAACAUUCUGCCCCUCUUUUUCUUUUUCUUUUUUUUUUUCUUUUUUUCGAAUAUAUUUCUCCCUACCAUAUGCUGUCUUGUUAAUGGAAGCCAAGGCAUUUCACCCCUCUAAUCCAGGACUUCCUAAGAUUUGAUUCUUUUGCCAUAAGAACCAUACAUACUGUAGGGAAAGAGGACAUGAUACAAGAUUCCCUUCUAUAAGCAAUAUUAUGAAUGCUGUCCACAGUAGGAAGGAAUUAAUUUGUUAAUUUGAAUGCAAUUUUGGAGUAUAUAUGCAGUCAAAGUUUCAACAAGUCUUUUCUGUUUACAUAUUCCACAAAUUUAGUUCUUCAUCUGCAAUGAUGGGCUUGUUAAGUAAACUGAGUUAAUAGCUUCAAAAAAGUUGUUUCAAAGCGCAGUAUGUAGACCCAUGUAGCAUGGUGUGGAGGGGACCCAUAGAAAGGAAGAAACUUAAGGUUGAGAGCAUGAGAGGAAGAGGUAAGUACAAGAAUAUCUUGUGGUCUGGCUUUUGGGACUGGAAAAAGAGAGGACCAUAUCUCCAUUAAAAGGAGAACCCUCAUGAACUCUAAAUCACAACACAUCAUUUUAUUGCAUUCAUUCAUUCAUUCAGAACCCACUUCCUUCCUUCCUUUCUUUCUUUCCAUCCAACAUAUCAUUUCAUUUCAUGCCUUCUCAUCACCUACAUUUCACUGCAGCUUCACUCUCUCUCUCUCUCUCUCUCAUUAAUCAUACCUCGUCAUGCCUUUUCAUCCAAGUAAUUCCUCUGCUACCCUCCCUUUCUAUGCCCUCUUUUGUCCCUUCCCUUUUAUAAUCCUCACUCUGUCAACUUCAGUCCUUCUCUACCAGAUAUUUCUCUGAUAUCCUCUCUACAUCCUUCCAUGUGCCCUCAUCUCCCCCUAUUAUAACCAUCCCUUCUCAGCAUUUUGUGCACCCUCACCUACCUCUCUCUCUCUCUCUCUCUUGGAAUUUUGUUUUCUUCCCUUUGUUUUCUUCUUGUUUCAUUCUGUCAUGGAACCUCAACAACAGCUCCAGCAGCAGCAGCAACAAAACCAACAACAGCCAAACGAGGAUAGCGGCAGCAGCAAAGGCAGUUUUCUGUGCAGGCAAAGCAGUACACGCUGGACUCCUACAACUGACCAGAUAAGAAUAUUGAAGGACCUUUACUACAACAAUGGAGUUAGGUCCCCAAGUGCUGAACAGAUUCAGAGGAUCUCAGCUAGGCUGAGGCAGUACGGCAAGAUCGAAGGCAAGAACGUCUUUUAUUGGUUUCAGAACCAUAAAGCUCGUGAAAGGCAGAAGAAGCGAUUCACUACUGAUAUGCCCAUGCAAAGAUCCCUUGGAAAUGCCGGUUGGAGACCUGAUGAUCCCAUUCACAACAAAUUUCAUACCAUUCCCACUCCUGGUGAACCUAGUCUCUCCAAAAAUCCUCCAUUUUACUCCUUAAUUUUCUCUAUCCUUUCCCUUCUCCUCUUCUUCAAUUUCCUCUCUUCUUGUUAAAAGUUUCAUUUUCUUUUCUGGGUAUUCCAUAUUACUUGUUUUCUUAGUGACAGUGUGUGUGUGUGAUGUGCAGGGAUAUCUUCCCCAUCUUCUUCUUCUUCACCCAGUGUGCUUGCUGUUGGGCAGAUGGGAAGCUUUGGAUAUGGAUCUGUGGAGAGGAGUUUUACAGUAAGUAAUAAACUAUGGUGAAGUUGGUAACCACAAUAAUAAGUGUCACUGUAUUUCUAAUUAUAUAUAUCUUUGAUUGCACUCUUAAAUUGGAAUAUAUGGCAAGAAAGAGACACCAAGUUUAAUCCCCAUGUGUGGAAUAGUGUAGGGUUUAUGUUCUAAAUAUAAUAACACACCAACUCAAAUGAUCUCUUCUUCUCUAACAAUAAAAAGGAGAGACAACAUACACACUUUUACUUUCCACCUUUUAAAACAUCCAUACAAAGGAAGAAUCCUUUUGGUGUUCUUGUAAACAAGCAAGACAUAUAGGGAAAAGCUCAUGAAAAAAAAAAAAAACCCAUUUUCUCUUUAAGCCGAAACGCAGAGAGAGAGAUUUGAAGCUAGCUUUCAUUAUUGUACUCUCUAAUGAUUCUUCCUUUGGGACCAGGACUGUUCAAUAUCAGCAGGUGGUGGUCGUGGUGGGGUUGGUGGAUCUAUAAACCAGAGCUUCGAAUGGGUUGGCAUGGACCCAUAUUCUUCAUCUUAUGCACUCUUUGACAAGAGAAAAACAAUGGGUGAAAGCUUCGAAGAAGAGCAAGAAGAAGAAGCAACUCCGGAGAUUGAAACGCUCCCACUCUUUCCCAUGCACGCUGAGGAUAUCACUGGCUUUUGCAACAUUAAGCCCGAAUCCGACGCCUACUACUCCGGCUGGUACAGGCCCGCCGACGCCAAGACCAGUUCCCGCACUUCUCUUGAGCUUAGCCUCAACUCCUACGCCGGCAGGUCCCCGGAUUCCCCCUGAAUAUUCCUCCAUGCUCAGCAGAUUUUAGCCAUAUAUUUUGGGGCUCAUUACUUUAUUUAGUAAUUGUACUUAGAGACAGUAAUUGUGGCUUGUAUAUGCUCAAGGGUUGGUGGCGUUGGAAUGUCUCUCUACAGUCUACACUUCUUCACUCUAAACCUGCUGGGCAUUUGACACGUCUCAUCACCUUCUUUUAAACAUAUAUUCCUUGAUUUUAAUUUUUUUCUUUUUUCUUUUUUUUAAAUGACAUAAAACAGAAAUAAUUUAAACCAUAAAAAUAUUAACAAGAAAAAAAAAAAAAAAAAACACCUUGCCAAUUGCCUACUAUAAUUAAGGAUACAAAUUUCGAAAAGAAAAAACAUAUGGGCGAAUUCCUAAAUAUAAGAGACUGAAAUGGGUCCCCCCGAGGUGUGAGGUAAGUGCGUCCUACGCUACAGUGAGGGGCUUUCAUCGGUAUCGUAAUCAUACAGCACAGUACUUGGGAAAAAGAUACUACAAUGAUAUCCAACCCCAAAAAUAAAUCAUGAAUAUAAUAUAACAAGGCGGUGUGUGUUGAAAAAAUGAUGAUGAGAUGAAAAAGUAUGUGAAUUGAAUAAUACCCAAACCCCAACUCCAGCCGUUACAGAUAAAAGGAGCGUACAUAUUUUGGAGUUUGAACCCCCCACAUCGUGAAUGUCGCAAAUUAUUUGCCUGUCCCCUCAUCAGCUCUGCCCCAAUUCCCUCCCCCCGCCAAUGGGUUUUUUGCCAUUCUGCUCGCUCCAUUCUUCUUCUUCUUCUUCACUCAUUUUACUGUAUUAAUUUUUAUGGUUAAAAAAAAAAAUUUAAAGAAAAAGAAAAAAGAAAACAAAAUUUACCCGAAAUAAUGAGAAUUUAACAGGUUCGCUCUGGUGAAUCAAUGAAAAUAACUUAGCAUUACUCUUUCAGAAGAAGAGAUCAUUUUUCAAUCUUGAGGGUCCUGCAGUAAUGCAGCUUUUGUCACCGGACUGUUUGGAGUUGACGCACAUGGAUGUUCAAUGACCAGCAUAUUUCUCUUACAAAAAUCAGCCGCUUCUGUAUUUACUUGGCAGCUACCUUUUUUCCCCUGUGCGAGGCCACCGUAUGAACAGAGUAGUAAUUGAAAAGGUCCCCAUCAAGAAGAUUUUGGAUGGAUGGCUUCCUUUAUUUGGUUUGACAAAUUUUCACUCUAUAGCAAGAGAAGACCCUCAUGUCGUUCAGGGUAUUGGAGCUCUAAAGAGAGGCCUCAGCGAGGAAAUUAUAUGGACUAUGCUUCAUUUCUUAGAAGACAGAUAUAUUGAGAUUUAGUGGUAGAUCCAAGGAGAUCUUUAAAGCUUUUUGAGGCUCCAAGUACGUAAUUCCCUUACUAGUAAGGUGAGGCAUCAUAUGCAUCAUCACUCUUUUAUGUCCCUGGUGUAAGUUCUUCAAGGCCCAUAACCAGUUGCUUCAUUUGCUUGCCAUUUUGGACACCUCUCUGCUGUGUUUCAAGUUAUAUAUGUAUAUAUAUAUACACACACAUUCAUUUACUUUUCAAUUAAGGUAAACUGCUUAUUGAUGCAGGACAUAAGGUUUAAUAUGAUUAAUACAUGGGAGAUUCAAGACCAACAUGCCUACACCGGAAUUAGGUAAUAGAAUCAAAAGAGCAUUUAAUAGAUGAUUUACACUUGUAUUGUAAUUUAAUAAAAGAAAUACAAUACAGUGCUGUUUAUGUAAGAAGAGAGAUCUUGAUGAUGCAAACCUUCAGAUUUAGGUAAAACCAUACAAGCAAAAGGCUAAAUGUUGAUAUUAGUACCUCAGAUUCAGGUAGAAGAUCUAAAGCCGGGAUUCACAUUUUAGUACCUCAAGUACAUGAUGUUGCCUCCAGAACAGGGUUUCUGAUAAAUGUAUGCUAUUAUCAAGGAUGGUAAGCCACUGGAGCAUCUAAUAUUUCAAGAAGUGGCUCCCUCAUUAGUGUAAUAACAUAUAAAUUUAUGGUACUGGGCACAGUCCUCUGUAGUCAGUUCUUUAUGUUGCCCCUGCAAAGCCAACUGGUAUUAUGAUAACAAAUGGUGCACAUGGAAAUUCCCACCAAAACUUUCAUCAAUAAUGGAUGAGAAAAGAUGGUGAACCUUUUGACUAUCUCACGCUUAGGAUUACAAGGUGGUUGUACAUGGAAACUCUACUUUCUUCCAGCAUAAGCUCCCAAUUUAGAUAAGUCUGGAAUCCAAAAUGAUAAUUCAGAAGAGCCAGUCACAAACAUCAGACUUCCAGGAGCCCAUUUUAUGACAGGAGGUUCAGUUUCAGUGCUCAUCCAGCUUGCAACCUGGACAGAAAGUAAAAGCAAGCGUUUAAGUGUCAACUUCCAAUGGGAGCAAAAUAACAUGGCAGAUAUAACAUAUAUAUAAACACUGACAGGGACAUAAAUAUGAAUGUACACAUGUACAGAUGCAUGUAUAAAUCGACACACACACACAUAUAUAAAGCAUUUCUAGUUAUAAUUUCACACAUCUCUCCCUAGAUUAAGUAUUAUGCAUUCUGCAAUACUUGGUUGACAGGAAGAGAAAGGAAAAGAAAUGGAAGGUGAGAUGAAAUGUGGAAUAGAUGUGUAUUCCAAAAACAAUAUCAUGCUCCUCUUUCUUGGAUAUGAAACAUACUACAGCCAUAUAUUCUAUUUACAUAGGAUAUCUGUAUAUCCUAUGAGGAGGAAAAAAAAAACAGGAUAUCACAAGGAAAUGUCAAAACCAUAGCUUAACUGGACCUAUGGACGAGCUCCACAGCUCAACCAAAGGCUAAUCAUGAGUCUUUAAUACAAAGAAUCAAAGGGAAAUAGGGAAUGGGGUUAAGUUCAAAGAUACAAGAGCAUAAAGGAAUGUGAUUUAUUUAACAUACUUCUUUGCCACUCCGUACACUCCAUGCAUAGACACUCCCAUCACCUGAGCCUGCCAACAAGCAGAAACAAAGAAAGUUACACUGGCAAGAAUUUUCCCGAUGAAGCUGAUUUUUUUUUCUUCAGUGUAGUGCAAUACAAUUUAGGGAGCCCCAAGUCUCUAUUUAAUUGGAUCCAAAUGCUAGACAACAUAUCUAAGCAAAAAGACAUCAUCAGUUUUUGCUGUGAACAGAAACAGACUAUGGUGAUACAUAUCUAUAUAUAGAUAAAGAAAUAGAAGAAGAAGAAGAAGAAGAAGAAGAAGAUUUUUGAAAAAAUGCUAGAAUGGCAAGAAACUGGACACAGCUUGAACAAGAUUGCAAAUGAAAUAAUUUGUUUCUGACAAUCACUUGAACUCAAGACGGAGUUCUUUUAUAUUAGACAAUGAAGCAUAAAUUUUUAUGCCAGGCAAAACAACCUCAAAGGUUUCUCAAAAUAUGCUAUAUGACAUAUUUUUAAUCCAUCAGCCCCUAAGUCCUUUAGUGGAGGUUAAGGAGAACCACAGGUCACACGUCAUUUACUGCCCCAAGAAGGUAGUUUCCAAAGCCUCAUCUUAAAACUGAAAGACUGAUACUGAUUGGUAUAAAAAAAACUUAUUUGAGAUCUCAAGACAACAUAAAUGCACUACACAAAUUAAUAAAAAACAACCAACACAAAGUGGAAAAGGGACCAAUGAAAUAGUUCCGGAUGCUUUCCUCCUAGAACUGGUUAAGCCAAUUGCAUUACCUGAUAUAACGAACAUUCCCUCGGGACUGAAGGAUGCUUCUAAAGUGGAAGUGCUUGAAACUGGCUUGACAUUGUAUGUGGAUAGCUAAACAAGCAGUGAUUAUAAGACACGUUAGAAAGAACAAUUCACAGGACAAAAGGCUGCCAAUUCAAUAUUUUCAUCAGCUAAAUUCAAGGAAACUAAAUACAAAAGCUAUUUCUUGAGUGUUGGCGGAAAAUAGCUUACAAGCGUGCCACGGAAUGAAUCAAGUACAUGAAUAUGUCCAUCCAUAGUAGUUAAAAGCAUAAGCCUCCCAUCAUUACUGAACUUGACAACAUUUGCAUCAGAUAUAUCUCCCCCAACAGAGAAGAUUUCAAAAGGACCCUUUAAGGAUUCAAAUUUCACCCAAAUUAGUGUGCACUUAAACCAUCAUUUAUUGAUUAAACCAUGUUAAACCCUCACAAUCAUUUGAUCACCAAAUUGAUUAAACCAUGUUAAACCUUCACAAUCAUUUGAUCACCAACCUUAUCAUACUUGCGAGCAUCAAACAGUCUUACGUAUCCUCCAAAUGCAAUUGCAAAGACUAACCCUUGAUCAUCAUAAGCUGUAGCAGGCCUUCCUUGCACACGUAAAAGACCCUAGAGUACAGAAAACACAAUACAAAUUCACUUUAUGAUGAAAUUAAUUUCAGCAUUUGAGCACCAACAAAAUGCCAUGGACUCCACCUGACACUUCUCAGCUCGUUGAUCCCAAAGUAAAACAGUUCGAUCAAGUGAGCCAGAGAUAAAACAUUCUUUUCGAGAGCACAAGCUAAGAGAGACAACCCUUAAAAACAACCAGAGAAAUGAUACUGUCGUCACAAAGAUAAGUUCAGCAUAAGCAAAUUGAACCAAUUGAGAGAAAUGUGUCAAUUGCAUCAGUGACCAUACCUGUCAUGGUGACCUUUAAAGUAACGCAAAUACUUGUUGUCAUGCAAUGAAAGAAGCCGCAAAGAUUCUGAACCAAUUAAUACUUAAGCAUGUAAAAACUGACUUUUAACUAAACUAUAAAUACAUAAAUAAUUGAUAAGCAUACCAUCCCAACCAUUUUUUGAGGAGUAUAUAACUGUUGUAGGAUCAGAAGUGAAGCAGACCAGAUCAACCCCAUACUUUUUGCUAUUAAUUGUCUUCAAACAUCUGGCAAUGAAAGGAAGGUGUCUCUACAAUUCAUGCUGGUAUAGAAAGAAAUAGCUAGCCAACUUGAAAUUUGAGUCUAAAAUAAGUUAAAUGUAGCACAAAUAGAAUAUCAAAUGAGGCAAAGAAAUCCUAAAGAAAGAUACAAAAAUACAACCCAUAACCUUUCCAAUCCUUUUCACCUUUCUAUAACAAACAUGUGAGCCAAUACCUCCACUAAUGCUGGUAAACACAUUUGUUUCAACUUAAAUUUCCAGAAACUGAAAUACUGUCCUGUGCUUGUCAUUGCUCUAGAAAAUUGUGAAACACCGGCAAAAAUUUCCAGUUUCACAUUUACAGGGAACCAAGCCCCAGUGCCAAGGAGAUACAUGGUAUGAUCAACGUUGCAUCUUCUUGACAAGUCAGCAUACAAUGCAAGCACACUGUGAGCUCAUUGUCCAUGAUAGAAACUUAUGAUUUAAUUGAUACUAAAAUGUGUGGUCAAAGAGACUUAAAUUGAUAAAGAAAAAUGAAAAUUAUACAUAAAUAAUAAGCUAAAAUUGAGAGGCAUACGUUCCAGUGGCGACAUCAUACAGGCGAAUGGAUUCAUCGUCACUAGCAGUCACUAGAUAACUUGAUGUCCUAUGAAAAUCCAUUGAACUGAUCCUACCACUCUGCAAAUGGCAAUGAGAGAGUAAAAGAGGCAUUUAAAAGUACACUUAAAGCUAUAUUUGGUUCCAAGGAAGUACUAAGGAAUGAAAAAAGAAAUGUCAAAAGAAAAAUUUUCGUCUCAUGUUCAGUUUUGUCAAGAAAAAUAUGAGGAAAAAAAAAAAUCAAAUAUUACUGAAAUUAAUUAGAAACUGAUCCAUUUCCAAUUAAAACCAAAUUAUUUUCUUUGCUUUGCUUUUUCGUUUCUUUUAUAUUUUCUUCCCAUCCCAUUCUCCCCCAAAUUUUCCCAGAAACAAAAUAUAGCCUUAGUAAAGCGUGCUCUGUAGCAUAAUCUCCCCAAGCAACCGAUUACACAGUCAAUACGAGCCCUAAAGCAAAAUACAAAUCCUCAAAGAAACAAUUACUUGUGAUUUCCCCCACAAGAAUGUAUUACAAAAGCCCUAAAAUAUUCGGUGGCUGAGGGAAUGGAAGGCGUUUCCAAUUCUGAGCAGCCAAACAUGGAAUAAAAACCCAAAUACGAGAGAAAGAGAGAACAAAGAACAAAUUAGAGUAGUAAAAUUACAUAAUCACGAAAAGCCAUGCCAACUUCCAUGCUCUGAAAGAUUUCUUCAGUGAGCUCUAGAGCAACCUUGUCUUCUCUUUCUGAUUGGCCCUGCCCUCCUGUAAAUUAUACACCGAAAUGUAAAUAAUUUCAAAAAUUUUAAAAAUUUGUAGAACAAAUCUGCGGGUGCAGAUUGGAGUAAAGAAAUGGUAAUCCAUCCACAUACCAGCCAUUUGAUUUGUCGUUGUGAAGCCUUCGAAUUCUACAGCUUUGCAUAAAGGCGGCAAAGCCCUGCUAACUUCCGAAUUGUACUAACGUCUUCCAUUCCAUCUAUUCCUUUUUCCCAAACCCCAGGGUUUAAGUAUAUUUUAGAUUAUCUUAGGCCAUGUUCGGUUCCAAAAAAAAAUUUUGAGAGAAAAUGUAUGGGAAGGAAAAUGAACGAAGAAAAAACUUAAAGAAAAAUAAAAAAAUAAAUUUAAAAUUAAUAAAUUAUUUUUAUUUAUUAUUUUAAUUUUAUUUUACUUAUUCGAACACCCUUUAUCAUGACUUCUGCUCGUUGCAUACCUUGAUCCACUACUGUACGAAUAGCAUUUCCUGUUGCGGUUUGCGCAGCAAAUGGCAUCCCUCUUCUUGUACCCCUGAAUCCACAAGUAUAGGCCGAGGACAUAUAAAGAUUAAAUAAAUUUAAAAUAUAUAAAAAAAAUUAAUUAAUCAUAAUUAUAUUUUAACUUUUCUAAUAUUUUUCAUAAUACAAAAAUUUAUUUUUUUAAUAUUUUCGGUAACCAGUUUGUUUUUUUACUUAAUUUUAAAUAGAACUUUAAUAUUUAAUAGUAUUAAGUAUUCAGUUGUUUGUUUUUAUAGUAUUUUAUUUUUAUUAAAUAUGAAAAAAUAAAUAAAACUAAUAUGUUAUUUUUUUCAUAUAAAAAAAUUAAAUAUUUUAUUUUAUUUUAUUCGGUAAAAAGUUUAUAAUAAGUCAUAAAAAGUAGAAAAAUAAACAAUUUAAAGAUUAAAAACAAAUUACUUUAAACAAAAAGUUAAAAAAACAAAAAACAAAUACCCUCCCGUGUAUUUUUUAUAUAUUUUCCUAUUUUUAAAAAUAAAAUUCUUUUAUAAACUAUAGAAAUUUGUAUAAAAAAUAUGUAUUUUAAAAUAUUUUUUAAAUUAAAAAAUUUAUUUUCUCAAGGUUUUAAAAGUUUGAAAAGAGUUUUUAAUUAAGAAUAUAAGAUAAAAUUUUUAGUUAUGAUCUUGAAUUUAUUUGUACUCCAUUAACUGAUGUAAUCUAAUAGUUUAAUAUAUCUAUACAUAUUGGCAUUUUAUGAUUUUAAAUUAAAUAAAAUGGUAAAAGAAGUUUACCAAUUUUUUUUUUUCUAUUUAAUUAUUGUAUUAUAAUCAAACAAAAUUUAAUAAUUAGAGUUUUAAGAGUGAAACUUUAAAAAUUUUAAAAGGUUAAAAAUAUAAAAUCAUUAGUGAAAUAAAACAUAGAUUAGCUUUUAAAACUUAAACUUUGUUAUAUUGAUUUAUUGGAGUGUAUUUAUGAAAAAAAAAACAGUUAAUGUCUGUAGUCCCUAAAAUUUGUUGAAAGUCCAUUUUUACAUUAUUAUUAUUAUUAUUUUUAUAUUAUUUUUAUUUACCUAUUUAUCUAUUUAUUUAUUUUUAGUUUUUAUUUUUAAUUUUUAAUUUUCUUUCUUUUUUUGUUUGUCUCGAGUAAUUGAAAAUAUUUUUCCAACAACUUUCUAUCAACAUAAGUGAUAUUUUCUUAAAUAAAAAUUACAUCUCAUAUAUGAGGGUUGGAUGCAUGGUAUUUAGACACAAUAAUAUUCACGUAUUUCACAUUAUUUAUUUAUUAUUGUAGAUGUCGAGUACAUCAUGGGUGGUAUUAGAAGUACAUAGCUUCUUAAGUAUACAACUAAGGUGGUGUUUGUUUUUGUUGUAUCGAUUUCUUAGAGUGUAUUUUUUACAUUAUUAUUAUUAUUAUUUUACUUUUGUUUACCUAUUUAUUAUUUUUUUUUUUCCCAUUUUUUUCCGUUUGUCUCGAGUACUUGAAAAUAUUUUUUCCAACAACUUUCUAUUGACAUAAGUGAUAUUUUCUUAAAUAAAAAUUAUCUCAUUUAUGAGGAUCGGAUGUAUGGUAUUUAGACACAAUAAUAUUCACGUAUUUCACAUUAUUUAUUUAUUAUUGUAGACGUUGAGUACAUCAUGGGUGGUAUUAGAAGUACAUAGCUUCUUAAGUAUACAACGAAGAGUCCUUACAUGCACAACUUAAGUUAUGCAUUAUUUUAAGAUGUGUCAACUUAGUGUUUUAAGGGGUGCUCUGUUUUUGCCUAUAGUACUUGUAAGUUGUAAGGUGUGCAACUUCAAUCCAUAAAUAUUUCAAUUCUUAAUAAAUUUUUUUAAAAAAUAUUAAAUAUUAAAUACACUUUUCAUAAAAAGUCACAUUUUAUUUUUUUAUUUUUUAUAAAGUUAAAAUUUUAGUCAAACAAAAUGUUAAAAUUACUGUCAAAUUUUUAUUUUAUAUAAAUAAAAUUUUUUAAUAUUUUAACUAAGUAAAAGGUUAUAACUAUAGUCAAAUUAAAAACACUAGCAAAAAGUUAAAACCUUUAUCAUUUAUUUUGAUUUUCACAUGAAAUUUUAAAAAAGUUUAAAUAAUAUAAAUAAUGAAAUAAAUAUGAUAAAUAUAUUUUUAUUUAAUCUAAAUAUGGUGAAAUUUAUUAAUUAAAUAAAUAAAUAUUGUAUUUAGCAUGAAUAUUGAAAGCCUUAUGUCUUAAACUUCUAAAUUUAUUUAUUAUAUAUUAUUAUUUUGUAUUUAAAGUGUCUAUAAAUAAUUGAAAUAAAUACAUAUGAAAAUGUGAAAAGGUAAAAAAAAAAUGAAAUUAAAAAGGUUUCAAGAGAGAACAUAUAGCCAACAUAUUAAAAAAUAGGGAUAAUUGUGUUUUGGACCUAGUGGACUCAAAAAUUAAGCUUUGAUUAAUAUAAGUUCACUAUUUAAGCUCAAGACCUAGAGCAAGUGUGGAAAUUGAGAAAAAGGAUAUGACGUUUUUAUCUUUCAAAAAAUGAUCUUUAUUAACUAUGAAAAAAAAGUAGAAAAACAUUAAUUUAAAUUUAUUUUAUUUGCAAACCUCAAUAAAAUUUAAUAUAAUUUAGUGAUUUAAAAAAAAUACACCAUUUUCCAAAAAAAUAAAAAUGAAUUAUUAUUAUUUAAAAAUCAAAUGUCUUGAAAAAUAUAUAUUUUUAAAAUUAUGUAUAUAAAAAAUAACUGAAAAUAUGUCAAAUUAAUUUUUUUUAAGUGAUAUAUUUUUACAAUAUAUAUAUUUUUUAAAUUAGUUUUCUUAAAAUAAUAAAUUUUUAGAAUAAUUAUUAAAAAAAAUUAAGAUAAAAAAAUUUCUCAAAUAUUAUGAUAGAAAAUAGUUUUAAAGGGUAUAUUGAUCUUUUUAUAUUUCAUAUUAUUUUCAUUAAUUAUGUAACUUUUAUGAGUCAAAUCUUGAUUUUUCGAUCCAAUUAAACCAAAAGAUAAUUGUUCCUAAAAAAUAAGGUGAAACUUGACUCGGAGGUAACACGGAGGAGGCAAAAAAAAUUGAUAAGUCGGUUUUGAUCCACUUAACUUGUCAUGUCAAAUUCAAAAGAAAAAAAAAAUUGAGAUAAUCGAUCGAGAAUAGAAAAAAGUUGAAUAGUUUUGAAAUUAUGGUAAUAUUACCAUUGAAGUACAUGUGACAGAGAUUAUUUUUCUGAACUUGUACGUAUUCCAAGACCUGAAAGUUUAACUUCUCAAAAAUUAUAUAUACUUGUUUAUGUAAUAUAAAUAAAAGAUUAUCGUUUCAUUUUUUUUAUAAUUUUAAUUUUUCACUUUUUAUUUUCAAACGUGAGUUAAUCACAUGAAGAGAAAAUAAUUAAAAAAAAAAGAUAAAAAUAACAUUUUAUCCUUUAUUAUAGCUAAAAUUCAUUUAUAAACCUUAAGAUAUUAUUUGUUUUAAUUCUUUACAAAAGGUUGAUCUUAACUUUAAAAUAUGUCUUAACUUUCUUUCAUUUCCCACUUGAUUUUUAAUUUUUAAUUUUUAUUUCACAACCCAUCACCUAGCACAUUUUAUUUUAUUUCAAAUGGUUAUACACUUUUCAUUAUCAUUUUAUUUAUUUAUUUACUUAUUUUGAAUUUUUUUAGUUGUUUAGGUCUACCUAUGAUCAAUAUUCAGAUUUUCCCUAUUUUUAUCAAUAAUUUAAUCUAUAUUCAUAAUUUUUCAAAGUUUUUGAUCUAAAAGUUAAAUAUAUAAACCCUAAUUUAGGUUGAGAUCUUUAAAAUAUUCAAAAUUAAUUAAAAAAUGUAAAUUAAUAAUUCAAAUAUUAAAAUUUUUACCCAUAAAAUUGAUUUUCAGAUCCUAAACAUCAUAAACAUUCAAAUUUUUAAUCAUAAUGGUGCCCUACAUUCUGUAUCUCCCUCCCAUCUCUAUGUAAACAGGUUUUAUGAAUAAAGAAAAUAAAAAAUAUAUAAUUUAUACGUAAAACUUUUAAAAGCAAAAAAUAACUUUUAUACCCUUAUCAAAUUAAUUCUAUUUAUUUAUUUAUUUUCAAAAUUAUGAUUUUACGUUUAGGUAGUUGCAAUAUAUAUGUAUAUAUUUCUUUUUUUGUAAAGAGCAAAGUGAUUAAAAAAAAUUCAAAUAAAUCUAAAAGAGAUUGUAAUUUAUUUAUUUAUUAAUAACAAUAAAAAAAAUUUUAGAAUAUUAUUUUUAUUAAAAAAAUGAACAACUCGAUAUUAUUCUGUUGAGGUACUUAUGGACAUUUAAGAAAAAAGAUGGUUAAUUUAUAUGACCAUUUCAAAUUAGUUGAAAUAUGAUAUGGGCAUUUGUGGAAAAAAGCGUUGGUUUGAGGGGCAAUUCUGAAAUUGUAGGAAGGUAAUGGUUGGAGUCCAUUUUCAAUGAUUAUUUGAUCUCAUUGUGUACUUGUCAUGAAAAGCAAAUUUUGGGGUGCUAAUUUUUUUUUUUUUUGGAAAUAACGUAUACUUGCGUGAUUCUCCCAAAUAUAAAUCCAAAUAGAAUCUGAUCUCUGGUCGAUUUUUAACCCAAAGGCUGACUGGCUCAGUACAGCCUGAAUUGGAUCCGACCAACGCAUGUCGCACUCCUACAGUCCUACCUCAAGGCGACAAACUCAUCCUGACACGACAGAUUGACACCCUAAGAACGAAACCGAAUUUUAAUGCGAGGGUGCCACUAUCCCAAAAACACCGGGCCCUAGGCGCAGUCCAAUCAAACAUUGAGUUGGGCCGGUCCACUUCAAAUUGAAUCGGAAAUCAUGGGAUGGGCGAAGCAGCUGGGCCUGUCACGUUUGCAUGAGUGUUGGCCGACAAAGUAUGGUUCACAGCAAAUCGACGGUUUCAUCUACCGUUCCAAACGUGGGUCCCUUUCUCCCAAAUUUUAAUACAACUUCAUGUGCGUUGAUCCAUUGCAUCAAUCCUAUUAGAAUACAUCAACCACAGUCCACCUGUGUCGCACUGGAAUACGCAUAAGUUCUAACACUUUCAUCCAAACAAGCCUUUACUUGGAUUUUUCAUUUUCAGAGACUUAAUUAGAAACACUUUUGACAACAAUAACCAACAAAAGAAAAAAGAAAAAAAAAAAAGAAAGAAAAAUCCUCUACUUAAUUUCCUUCCCCCUGUAAAUUUCAUACACAUCAAUUUACAAUCUAUCAUCUCACACCAGGCGAAUUAAUGGGCAUAACCAUCCUUGGAAACAAAAGGUCAGACAAAUUUGAUAAACUGCGAGCCACGGUCGAAAUACCACCUAUGAUCACAUGACCGGCACGGGCAUGGCCGUAUCCAUGGAACUGCUAGCAGUGGAGUCACGGUUAUCCCCCGGCGACGCAGAUUUCUUUAUGAACUCUAUGCAGUCGGCAACGGCUUCGCUGUGGUGGGGUUCAUUUGGGUAGUAAGACCGCGGCACGUCGCGGGAUCCACUAUGGCUUGUGGCCUUAGACAGAGCAGUCAACAUGAUCAACCGAAACACCGCUUCCCGGAAACGUUCCAGAAGCGACAUCGCUGGCGACAACCGGUUGUUGGUGGUGCUGCUGCUGCUUUUGCAGGAGGUGUUGCUCCUCAUGAGCCUGGGGAUGCAUAAGUGGCUCUUCAUCAUGUUCCUCCUUCUUCCUUUGGAUUUCUCCAUCUUGGCGGUGGGCGUUGGUCUUUGUUAAUAGGCUGUAGGAAGGUGAAUGAGAAUCCACGAGACAGCUCUUAUAUUAUUACUCUAUAUGCAUUGGUUGGGCUGAGGCUGCGAGCUUCAAAUAUAAUCUGGCUGACUGGCUCGAAAGCCUAUAUGUAACGCAUGUGGCUUGUGGCCGAGCCUCUAGAACUUUCGUCUUUUCUGCCUAGGAGGUUUUAUCCAGUAACAGCCUGCCACAUAACAGGAGCAGACUUGUAAUUUGCCUUUUCAUUCUUUUAAAAUUUCUAAUGGCCGCUCUCCCUGAUGGUUUAAUCAUGAUGAUCAAA